Molecule: long non-coding RNA, 1005 nt
Organism: Tupaia belangeri chinensis (Chinese tree shrew)
Lineage: Eukaryota; Metazoa; Chordata; Mammalia; Scandentia; Tupaiidae
Exons: 3
Source: RefSeq, a predicted model, not a curated record
CUCAUUACCAGCUUCCGAUCGGUUCGACGGCCGUCCCCGGUCUGAGCGUGCGGUCCUGGGCACACUUUCGGGACUGAGCGUCGAGUGGACUCCCCUGACUCUGCCUCCUGCCGCCGCGCGCACCAGCUGAAUAGCAGAAGCGCCUGGGACCCCCACCGGCCCCGCCCCGCCCUGGUCCCGCGUAGCCCCGCCCCGUCCUGCUCGGCCCCGCCCUUCUAUCGCGCUGGAGGGCCCCACCCUCGUCCCGGCACGUGAUGACGUAGAACGUAACGACACCGUGUGGUAGCCAUCUUCUUGAGGUCCGAAGGAGGGUUAUUUUGUGGACUUGUUUUCGGCCCGGAAAAAGGUGUGACGAUAAAUGACGCGUCGGCGAACGCUUUGUAGCCACCCCGUGUCAAGCUGUGCCAAACAGCUUAACUUCAACCUGUGCCAAACAGCUUAACUUCAACCUGAGACAGUGAGUCACCUAACCUUUGGUUGAGAAUUGCAGUGAGCUGGCAGGCAAUACAGUAUUCUUUCCCCAGUCAGAUUUCAGUAAGAUGAGAAGGAAGAAAGCAAAGAAGAAAAAGAGCAUUUAAGGGCCAGGUGAUUGUGCAGGUAUCCAGGUUGACUGAGACUGGGGUGGACUGCAGCAUAAAGACCCUAUUAGGAGUGUCUGUCUGUCUGUUUCUCUCUGUCUCUCAUGGAAGAAUAAACUGAAACUGAAAAUAAAAAAAAGAAAUCUCUGAACAUUUAACUGCCUAUCCAAACAAUGCCAUCUUUUUAAUCAGUUGAGGUGUUAUUUUCUAAAGUUUCAGAUUCAACUGUAUGUGUGUUCCUUUUUCUUUUAAAUAGUAUGGGAAAAAGAAGUCAGUCAGAGGAAUGCUUUCAUAAAUAACAGCUGUUCUAGAAUAAAGGAACAUAAUCAAAAUGAAUGUUAAAUCUAUUCCCUCAUGGCACAUGCAUUCAUUCAUGUCACUGAGCAAGAUAUUUUAAUUCCAACAAUACAAGGGAACUUCAAAAGUU